CACUAAGACAAUUCUGUUGUACACAGAAUAAAUAAUAAGCUUCAAGUAACUGACAUUUGCUAGUAUGUCAUAGAAUCAUUUUUACAGUCAUAGCUGAAACGGCAUUUGCUAACUUGCUUUCACUGAGCAGGCUUUUCCUUCUGAUAGAUUCCCUACUUCUCAAAGUAUAAUUAAUCUUCCUGUAAAAGCACUGAUCCUAAUCUUUAGUCUGCGUUAAGAUGACUAGAUAUUCCAGUUUUAAUUAUAAAGUCCUUUAUCUUAAUACUCUGCAGAGAUGCCCAUUUGACCCCAUUCCACUUUUGUUUCAUUUGCUCUGUGGCACAUGAUCACCAUGUAAAAGGAAUAGCACAUGGUCAAAGGGCUCUGUUCAGUGGUGACUUACAUGCUCCCUGCUGCCAGAUAUAAUGUAGAUUGCACUAAAAAAAUCAAUAUAUUUCUGCUUUGUAACUUAUAUUGCAUGAUUAUUUUUUGAAGUAGGUUAUUCAUUGUACCACAGAGCAGUCUUUUGGCACCAGAACCUUCAAACCAGUUAGGGAAAUGGAGAAAGAAUAUACUGCAGAUUUGGUCCUGCCCAGAAGAGGUGUUGGAACCCUUCUUAUUGGAAACAUCAGUGAAAAAUUAUCAAAAGGAAAGAAAGAUAAAUAGGACAAUCUACUUUCCUUUAAUAGGCACUGUGUUUUGUCUGAUAAAAGGCAUAAGACCAAAGGGCAGAAGCAGGCCAUUUCUUUUAUCAGCAGGCUAUGCUGUGAAAAACAAAACUUGAAGCACAAGCAAACAGAAUUGCACCACCAGUAAUGAAGAGAGGUGGCACACGAGGAUGGCAGAUGCUACUUUCUUCGCAGUCUUGAAGAGGGCUGUCUGCUUUGUCAUUAUUUCUUGCCAAGGAUUUUGCAAGCUACUGCUUCAACUGGAUAUUUUCUCUUAUUACUCCCAGGAUCUCCUUGGGAAUUGCAGCUGGCAUCCUUGUUCACUGCCAGAGUAUUUGGUAGCUCUUUCACUCGGUACUCUCAGGCACUCUCUUCACAUCCUCUGAAAAAAUUUGUUCUCGGAUUAACAUGAUUGUGUGUCCAAGGCCUAAUUGUCAUUCUGGAGUGAUGAACAACACAGGUGAACUCAUACCCUGAAAUUUCUAGGCUAUUUGAAUUGGUUCAUCUAAUGCCUGAAAGAACAAGUCAGUUUGCAACUCUAUAGUGCUG
RNAcentral lists this long non-coding RNA (1196 nucleotides) under Manacus vitellinus (golden-collared manakin). RNAcentral's name for it is "lncRNA (ENSMVIG00005007373.1)". Lineage: Eukaryota; Metazoa; Chordata; Aves; Passeriformes; Pipridae. The record is from RNAcentral.